AAGUCGUAACAAGGUUUCCGUAGGUGAACCUGCGGAAGGAUCAUUACCAAAUACUGCUUGCCUGGAUGGAUUCGUCCGUUCUGCAAACAACACCCCCCUGCGUACCUGUACCUGUUGCUUCCGUCAGCCAGCGGAUGCCUUUUGGGGCGUCCCCUCCGGUGCCUGGCCAGUUCAUGGCCGGCUGGGGAGUUGCUGGCGGCGAGCCCAAAAACAAAACACAUGUCAUUUCUCUGCCUAGUCUGAGCUUUGAUGCUACGAAACAAAAACAAGUUAAAACUUUCAAUAACGGAUCUCUUGGUUCUC
This 303-nucleotide unclassified non-coding RNA is filed under the name fungal sp. RNAcentral describes it as "partial internal transcribed spacer region". The stretch from base 1 to 46 matches the Rfam family "Eukaryotic small subunit ribosomal RNA", at positions 1786 to 1831 of the family's 1831-position model. The record is from RNAcentral. Lineage: Eukaryota; Fungi.